This 292-nucleotide ribosomal RNA is filed under the name uncultured bacterium. RNAcentral describes it as "partial 16S ribosomal RNA". It matches the Rfam family "Bacterial small subunit ribosomal RNA", at positions 505 to 796 of the family's 1533-position model. The record is from RNAcentral.
GUGCCAGCCGCCGCGGUAAUACGUAGGGGGCGAGCGUUGUUCGGAUUUACUGGGCGUAAAGAGCGCGUAGGCGGCCUGGUAAGUCAGAUGUGAAAGCCCUCGGCUCAACCGAGGAUCCGCGUCUGAGACUGCUGGGCUUGAGGGUAGGAGAGGAGAGCGGAAUUCCCAGUGUAGCGGUGAAAUGCGUAGAUAUUGGGAGGAACACCGGUGGCGAAGGCGGCUCUCUGGACUACUUCUGACGCUGAGGCGCGAAAGCUAGGGGAGCAAACGGGAUUAGAUACCCCUGUAGUCC